UACGUAGGGGGCAAGCGUUGUCCGGAUUCAUUGGGCGUAAAGAGCGUGUAGGCGGCCAGGUAGGUCGGUUGUGAAAACUGGAGGCUCAACCUUCAGAGGUCGACCGAAACCAUCUGGCUAGAGUCCGGGAGAGGAGAGUGGAAUUCCGGGUGUAGCGGUGGAAUGCGUAGAGAUCCGGAAGAACACCGGUGGCGAAGGCGGCCUGCUGGGGUAGAGCUGACACUGAGGCGCGACAGCGUGGGGAGCAAACAGG
RNAcentral lists this ribosomal RNA (253 nucleotides) under uncultured bacterium. RNAcentral describes it as "partial 16S ribosomal RNA". It matches the Rfam family "Bacterial small subunit ribosomal RNA", at positions 524 to 776 of the family's 1533-position model. The record is from RNAcentral.